Molecule: transfer RNA, 84 nt
Filed under: Canis lupus familiaris (dog)
Lineage: Eukaryota; Metazoa; Chordata; Mammalia; Carnivora; Canidae
Also listed under: 1 other name
Rfam family: tRNA
About the family: Transfer RNA (tRNA) molecules are approximately 80 nucleotides in length. Their secondary structure includes four short double-helical elements and three loops (D, anti-codon, and T loops).
Source: Rfam by way of RNAcentral
GCCUGGGUAGCUCAGCGGGUUGAGCAUCUGCCUUUGACUCAGGUCGUGAUCCUGGCGUCCUGGGAUCGAGUCCCACAUCAGGCU